This 468-nucleotide ribosomal RNA is filed under the name uncultured bacterium. RNAcentral describes it as "partial 16S ribosomal RNA". It matches the Rfam family "Bacterial small subunit ribosomal RNA", at positions 28 to 507 of the family's 1533-position model. The record is from RNAcentral.
GACGAACGCUGGCGGCGUGCUUAACACAUGCAAGUCGAACGGUGAUGCUCCAGCUUGCUGGAGUGGCUCAGUGGCGAACGGGUGAGUAACACGUGAGCAACCUGCCCCAGACUCUGGAAUAAGCGCUGGAAACGGCGUCUACUCCUGUAUCCGAAACUGGCCCGCAUGGGCAGGGUUUGGACAGUUUUUCGGUUUGGGAUGGGCUCGCGGCCUAUCAGCUUGUUAGUGAGGUAAUGGCUCACCCACGCAACGGAGGGUACGCCGCCUGGGAGGGCGACCGGGCACACUGGGACUGAGGGAGGGCCCAGAGGCCUACGGGGGGCAGCGGGGGGGAAUAUUGCACAAUGGGAGAAAGCCUGAUGCAGCGACGCCGCGUGAGGGAUGACGGCCUUCGGGGUGUAAACCGCUUUCGGCAAGGAAGAAGCGAAAGUGACGGUACCUGCAGAAGAAGCACCGGCUAACUACGUG